This 425-nucleotide ribosomal RNA is filed under the name uncultured bacterium. RNAcentral describes it as "bacterial SSU rRNA". It matches the Rfam family "Bacterial small subunit ribosomal RNA", at positions 354 to 796 of the family's 1533-position model. The record is from RNAcentral.
GUGGGGAAUAUUGGACAAUGGGCGCAAGCCUGAUCCAGUCAUGCCGCGUGAGUGAUGAAGGCCUUAGGAUUGUAAAGCUCUUUCACCGGUGAAGAUAAUGACGGUAACCGGAGAAGAAGCCCCGGCUAACUUCGUGCCAGCAGCCGCGGUAAUACGAAGGGGGCUAGCGUUGUUCGGAAUUACUGGGCGUAAAGCGCACGUAGGCGGAUAUUUAAGUCAGGGGUGAAAUCCCAGAGCUCAACUCUGGAACUGCCUUUGAUACUGGGUAUCUUGAGUAUGGAAGAGGUGAGUGGAAUUCCGAGUGUAGAGGUGAAAUUCGUAGAUAUUCGGAGGAACACCAGUGGCGAAGGCGGCUCACUGGUCCAUUACUGACGCUGAGGUGCGAAAGCGUGGGGAGCAAACAGGAUUAGAAACCCGGGUAGUCC